AUGAUCCUGCAAGCAAGCAGAAGGCCAAGAAUGCCAAUGUAUUCUCCCCUUCCUGUGUACGCUAUUCUUUUGCUUCUUUCUUGGCCAUUCAGUUCGGUGCCUAUUUGCUCAUCCGAUAAUCGGCUUGUCGCUGGCAAGCCGCUCUCCCCUGGCAGUGUCCUCGUCUCUCAAGAUGGGGUGUUUGCCCUGGGAUUCUUCUCCCCGUACAACUCCACUAAGAACCAUCACUAUGUUGGCAUAUGGUACAACGACAUCCCGGAGCGCACGGUGGUAUGGGUUUCUAACCGUGCGGCGCCGAUCACCACUAACCUUUCCUCUGCAAAUCUUGCCGUCACCGGCAGCUCCGACAUAGUCUUGUCUGAUAACAAUGGUCGUGUCUUCUGGACAACGUACAACAGCAUCAACAUCAACUCCAUCUCGGUGGAAGCAGUGUUGGACAACACUGGCAACUUCAUCCUUAGAUCAUUAACUGAUAGUACCAUCCUAUGGCAAAGCUUCGACCACCCUACCGACACUCUCCUACCCGGCAUGAACCUCAGGCUCAGCCACAACACGCUUCCACUGCAGCACCUCGUCUCCUGGAAAGGCCUACAUGACCCAUCCCCCGGUGAGUUCUCCUACGGCGCAGACCCUAGCAGCCUCCUCCAGUGCUUCGUCUGGAAUGGCUCGAGGCCACACCGGCGAAGCCCGGUGUGGACAAAUUACCUCUAUGUUGGUGGAUUCAACGAGUCUACCAUUUAUAUGGCCUUACAUCACGCCGGUGACGAGGUGUACAUGUCCUUCAUCAUGCCGAUUGGCUACUUCGUCCUGCUGGUCAGGAUGGAGAUUGACUACUUGGGCAAGGUAAAUCUACUAAUCUGGGAGAGCAACAUGUCUGCAUGGAGAGCCCUGUAUGCAGAGCCUCAACAUGAGUGCAAUAUGUACGGCUACUGUGGUCUUUAUGGUUACUGCGACAAUACAGAAGUUGUCCCAGUUUGCAAGUGCCUUGAAGGUUUUGAGCCGAGGGAUGGUGAAGGAUGGAUCGCCGAUGGCUUCUCACAUGGAUGCCGCCAGAAGGAGGUGCAGAGGUGCACCCAUGGAGACGGUUUCUUGGUCUUUCCAGGCAUGAAGGUCCCUGACAAGUUCAUACAUGUCCCGAGCAGAAGCUUUGAUGAGUGCACGGAGGAAUGCAGAAGCAAUUGCUCCUGUGUGGCAUAUGCUUAUUCCAAGAUGAGCAACAUGGAUAUUGAUGGGGAUGACACAAGAUGCCUGGUAUGGAUGGGAGAUUUGAUCGACAUGGAGAACCACACUCAAGGAGGGGAGAACCUCUAUGUUCGGACUAAAAGAUUACAAGGCAACAUGAGAAAGAUCAAAAUCCUAGAAAUUGUAUUACCAGUUGUUUCAAGUUUUCUGAUACUCAUAUGCGUGGUGCCUAUUUGGAUCUAUGGCUCUAGAGUCCUGACAGGCAAUCAAGGAAGCAUGGUUGUCUGGGAAAGGAUGAUGCGACGAGAUACAGAAAAUUAUAAUGAGGUUGCUGAUAGUUACACAGAGUUUCCCAUUUUGAACUUCAUGGCACUUGUUGCUGCGACAAAUAAUUUCUCUGAAUCCAACAUUCUUGGCAAAGGAGGGUUUGGCAACGUUUAUAAGGGAACGUUCGAAGAUGGUAAGGAAAUUGCUGUGAAAAGGCUUCGUGUUGGUUCUGUCCAAGGGGCUGUGGAGUUCAAAAAUGAAAUAGCUCUGACUUCUAGGUUGCAGCAUAGAAACUUGGUCAAACUUAUGGGCUGCAGUAUUUAUGAAGACGAAAAGCUUUUGAUUUAUGAAUACCUACCUAACCGAAGUUUGGAUUACUUCAUUUUCAAUGAUACAAGAAAAUCACUACUCAAUUGGCCAACAAGAUUUAAGAUAAUCAUUGGAGUAGCUAGGGGACUUCUUUAUCUCCACCAAGAUUCCAGAUUGGUUAUGAUUCAUAGUGAUCUCAAAGCAGGCAACAUAUUGUUGGAUGCUGAGAUGAACCCGAAAAUAUCUGAUUUUGGUACAGCUAGGGUCUUUGGUGUGAACGAACACGAACAACGUACCAAUCAAGUUGUUGGAACAUUCGGAUACAUGUCGCCUGAAUACGCAAUGGAAGGCAUAAUCUCCGUCAAAUCCGAUGUUUACAGCUUUGGGGUAUUAAUUCUAGAGAUUGUGAGUGGCAUGAAGACCGGCACCACAACCCCAAAGAGCUCAUGUGCAUGCACUCAUAACCUUAUAAAUUAUGCGUGGAGCUUAAGGAAGGAUGGGAAAUUGAUGGAUCUAAUCGAGUCAUCUAUCAUCGAGGAUUGCUCUCUCGCUGAAGCUCUACGAUGCAUCCAUGUUGGACUCUUGUCGGUGCAGGAUGACCCGGACGCUCGCCCUCUCAUGUCUUGGGUGGUAGCAAGCCUGGAUAACAAAGGCAUUGAGCUCGCGCAGCCGAAAGAACCUAUGUGCUUUACACAUCGUAAAUACGGAGCCGGGGAAAGCCAUGUACAUGACAUGAGCCUCGAAAACCUUAAGGGGUGCUAG
This 2520-nucleotide ribosomal RNA is filed under the name Triticum aestivum (bread wheat). RNAcentral's name for it is "partial small subunit ribosomal RNA". The record is from RNAcentral. Lineage: Eukaryota; Viridiplantae; Streptophyta; Magnoliopsida; Poales; Poaceae.